CAGAUUUGAUUUAUGCCCUAUGCAUAAGGUUGUUUCAGAUCCUGUGAAGCUGGGGAAAGCUGUCGUAAGUUAGGCUCCCGAUAUGGACCCAAACGAGUAAGAAGUCGAACUGGUGUGACAGUCGGCAGGAACGUGAGACGGCUGAACUUGAUUGACUGGUCCUUGCUGCCUCCAUCAUCAGGGCGAUGAGUCAACUCUUACCAGAAGACAGCUAUCUUCGGACACAACACCGUGAAAACCUCAAACCCUAAACUCUGACUGGUGUUGUCGAGGUGUUAAGACACGCAUUAACCCAGAUCCCAGCCGGUCUCCACUCGACUUUAACACAUGCAGUUGUAAAGUGCUGGAGAAUCUUGUCGCCGCUCUGUCCGGGGUGUGACAUCGCCGAGACGCCGGGGAUGCCUCCCCCCAUCGUACGUGACUUGCAACUACAACCACCGGCUUAAUAAUCCUCAUUGUGGCGGGCGGGCAGCGACCAGGUUCCAAUAUCGUAUUGUUUAGAGUAGCUGGCUCUCAAUCUGCAGAAAAUGCGCUACACCCUCAAGUCAAGCGGAGGAUUUCCAAUCAAGAACCGCUGUACACACCGCUCCAAUAUGCCACAGUUAAGUCUUGAAAUUCGUUGGCUACGUGUUGGACUACCCAGGUUCGAUUCCGGCCAGUGAAAAUUAUUUUUUCCUUAUAAAUCACUGAAUGAAAAAGGCUGUUAAUCAUAUUUAGCCUCAUACACAAUGGGUACGACGGGGGGUGGGGGGCUCCUUACCCGGGAUGAAGUGGCCAUCGGGUGAAAUUAACCAGUGACCACCAUCUAAUGCCAAGGAUAAAAAUGCGUGAAGUAAUUUGGGUCUGUACCCCCAUACACCUCCACAGCAUUUUGAUUUAAUGACAUCAAGUGCAUAUAACAAAUGUAUAAUGGGGACACUGUGUGUCCGUCCGUGUGUUUCAUCUCCGAAAUACGCAAUGGAUAUCGAAAGUGUUUCAAAUGAAAGUUGUAUAUAAUUAUGAGAUACACGUUUUGUAUUACGUACAAUUAUUAUGUGCAACAAGAUUGAUAAUUUUAAAUUAGAACUUAAAUUUAACUGAUACUAAUCAACAUUAAAUUCGGUCUACAUAUUCAACACACACAGAACGACUCAGGUGUUUCAGAGAUACAACAUAAAACAGGCACAACAUAUCAAUUAGGCCUACGCGUUCGUUUUAUAUACUUUGUGUAAAGCCAAAGAAAACUAAUAAACAAUUCCAUUGACCAGUGUCCUUCUUGGGAAGCUAAAAGUCGCUCAUUUAGUCUAAACACUUCCAAUUCUCCGUUCAUCCUGAAAAUCAUACGAAACACAUAGAUGCAGUCUGUUAGUAAAAUACAGAGUUACUGUAUCGUAAA
Zootermopsis nevadensis is the source of this 1375-nucleotide non-coding RNA. The record is from RefSeq and is a predicted model, not a curated record. Lineage: Eukaryota; Metazoa; Arthropoda; Insecta; Blattodea; Termopsidae.